Molecule: non-coding RNA, 830 nt
Organism: Trichomonas vaginalis G3
Lineage: Eukaryota; Parabasalia; Trichomonadida; Trichomonadidae
Source: Rfam
GUAGUCUGCCAUACGCAGGAAGACCCGCUGAACUGAAGCAUCUCAUUAAGCGGAGGAAAAGAAACUAACUAGGAUUCCCUUAGUAAAGGCGAUCGAAAAGGGAACAGCCCAACGUCUUAAUCCCGCAAGGGAAAUGUAGUCGGUUCACCUAUUGCACUGGUCUAAGUCAGAUGGAAUGCUGCGCGAUUCAGAGUAAAAGCCUCGUAUGACCAACCGCAAGCUUACGAUGGACCGGGGAGAGUCGGAUACUUUGAGAGUAGUGUCUUAAGGGGGUGGUAUGUCCCAUCCAAGGCUAAAUAACGUGAGGAGACCGAUAGAUUACAAGUAGUGUGAACGAAAGAUGAAAAGAACUCUAAAACAGAGGGUGAAAAGUUCCUGAACUUGCUUAGGGUUAAGGCUAUUUAUAGUACCCGUCUUGAAACACGGAUUAGGGAGUUUAUCUGUAGUGCGAGUCUUUGCACGUUAACUGUAAAGGCGUAGAGAAAGCAACUGGCGUUUGCAUGGCUACUGAGCAUUACUGAUAGGACCCGAAAGGUGGUGAACUUUGCCUGCACAGGUUGAAGUCAGGGGAAACUCUGAUGGAGGACCGUACGGGUUAUUGAUGUGCAAAUCAUUUUUCUGAUGUAGGUAAAGGUGCGAAAGACUCAUCGAACCACCUAAUAGCUGGUUUCCUCCGAAGUUUCCCUCAGGAUAGCUGUAAUGCAUUUAGUUAAGGGGAGUAGAGAUAUGGGUAGAGGUGCAGGGAGCCUUCGGGUUUCUCACUUAUUUCCAAACUUCGAACCUCUCCUUGUAGGCAUUUACCCUACUGGGAAUGCUUUAAUGAAUUAGCG